Molecule: ribosomal RNA, 216 nt
Filed under: Glomeromycotina sp.
Lineage: Eukaryota; Fungi; Glomeromycota
Description: partial small subunit ribosomal RNA
Rfam family: Eukaryotic small subunit ribosomal RNA (bases 40-216)
Source: RNAcentral
GGGUCAGUAGGUUGGUCGUGCCACCGGUACGUACUGGUCUCACUGAUUCCUCCUUCCUGAAGAACCGUAAUGCCGUUAAUUUGGUGUUGCGGGGAAACAGGACUGUUACUUUGAAAAAAUUAGAGUGUUUAAAGCAAGCUAACGCUUGAAUACAUUAGCAUGGAAUAAUGAAAUAGGACGAUCGAUCCUAUUUUGCUGGUUUCUAGGAUUGACGUA